This 254-nucleotide ribosomal RNA is filed under the name uncultured bacterium. RNAcentral describes it as "partial 16S ribosomal RNA". It matches the Rfam family "Bacterial small subunit ribosomal RNA", at positions 524 to 776 of the family's 1533-position model. The record is from RNAcentral.
UACGUAGGGGGCAAGCGUUGUCCGGAUUUAUUGGGCGUAAAGAGCGUGUAGGCGGCCAGACAGGUCCGUUGUGAAAACUAGAGGCUUAACCUCUAGACGUCGAUGGAAACCGUCUGGCUAGAGUCCGGAAGAGGAGAAUGGAAUUCCUGGUGUAGCGGUGAAAUGCGCAGAUAUCAGGAAGAACACCCGUGGCUAAGGCGACUACCUGGCCUGUUUCUUGACGCUGAGGCGCGAAAGCUAGGGGAGCAAACGGG